UUUGAUAAAUGAAAAAUUAUUGAUAAUAAUCAUAAUACCACGUACUGUGGUAAGCACGGUGUAAGAUUAUUCUUAGUCGAUUUGAAAACGAGUGCCGUCUAAAAAUUGUUCCGCUCUUGAUCUUCUAUUGUUUUCCUGUUGGUAAUUGACCGUGAAUCGGAUAAAAUUCCACGGCAACAAGUAUACAACGUUCUUCACAAUGCAGGAUUUGUACGAAAAUAAAAUUAAAA
This 230-nucleotide unclassified non-coding RNA is filed under the name Megachile rotundata (alfalfa leafcutting bee). Its description in RNAcentral is "uncharacterized LOC100876474, transcript variant X1". Lineage: Eukaryota; Metazoa; Arthropoda; Insecta; Hymenoptera; Megachilidae. The record is from RNAcentral.